This 428-nucleotide ribosomal RNA is filed under the name uncultured bacterium. Its description in RNAcentral is "partial 16S ribosomal RNA". It matches the Rfam family "Bacterial small subunit ribosomal RNA", at positions 354 to 796 of the family's 1533-position model. The record is from RNAcentral.
GUGGGGAAUAUUGGGCAAUGGGCGCAAGCCUGACCCAGCAACGCCACGUGAAGGAAGAAGGCUUUCGGGUUGUAAACUUCUUUUACCAGGGACGAAACAAAUGACGGUACCUGGUGAAUAAGCCACGGCUAACUACGUGCCAGCAGCCGCGGUAAUACGUAGGUGGCGAGCGUUAUCCGGAUUUAUUGGGUGUAAAGGGCGUGUAGGCGGGACAGCAAGUCAGAUGUGAAAACCAGAGGCUCAACCUCUGGCCUGCAUUUGAAACUGUUGUUCUUGAGUGUCGGAGAGGUAAUCGGAAUUCCGUGUGUAGCGGUGAAAUGCGUAGAUAUACGGAGGAACACCAGUGGCGAAGGCGGAUUACUGGACGAUAACUGACGCUGAGGCGCGAAAGCGUGGGGAGCAAACAGGAUUAGAUACCCGAGUAGUCC